Meriones unguiculatus (Mongolian gerbil) is the source of this 132-nucleotide small nucleolar RNA. RefSeq annotates it as small nucleolar RNA SNORA55. Lineage: Eukaryota; Metazoa; Chordata; Mammalia; Rodentia; Muridae. The transcript has a single exon. The record is from RefSeq and is a predicted model, not a curated record.
GCACUCAAAUCUUUCCCAGCCCUGCUGCUUGGUGCCGGUCUGGGGACAGAUGGUGCUAUAGUAGAGCAGAGGAAAUCCAGACGGGUCGCUUCCAUUUGUCCUGGGGCCUGUCUCUACAGCUCUGCCACACUU